AGGCAAAUCCUAAUAUGGGGACGAAGUCCCCAAUAACAGUAGAAAAUUCAAUAAAAAAAAAAAAUUCGGGAAAAUUUCCCGAAUUUUUCAUUGUA
Molecule: small RNA, 95 nt
Filed under: Mytilus galloprovincialis (Mediterranean mussel)
Lineage: Eukaryota; Metazoa; Mollusca; Bivalvia; Mytilida; Mytilidae
Source: RNAcentral